UCCCUAGUGGCUCAGAUGGUAAAGAAUCUGCCUGUAAUGCAGGAGACCUGGGUUCAAUUCCUGGGUCAGGAA
This 72-nucleotide transfer RNA is filed under the name Ovis aries (sheep). It matches the Rfam family "tRNA". From Rfam's summary of the family: Transfer RNA (tRNA) molecules are approximately 80 nucleotides in length. Their secondary structure includes four short double-helical elements and three loops (D, anti-codon, and T loops). Lineage: Eukaryota; Metazoa; Chordata; Mammalia; Artiodactyla; Bovidae. The record is from Rfam by way of RNAcentral.